This 327-nucleotide small nuclear RNA is filed under the name Dasypus novemcinctus (nine-banded armadillo). Its description in RNAcentral is "7SK RNA (ENSDNOG00000044397.1)". It matches the Rfam family "7SK RNA". From Rfam's summary of the family: 7SK was discovered as an abundant small nuclear RNA in the mid-70s but a possible function has only recently been suggested. Two independent studies have found that 7SK RNA binds the CDK9/cyclin T complex (known as elongation factor P-TEFb). Lineage: Eukaryota; Metazoa; Chordata; Mammalia; Cingulata; Dasypodidae. The record is from RNAcentral.
AACAGAGGGUUAUUUGUCUGUGACAUCUGUCAACUCAUUAAUCAUGAGCAUUGAUUCCACUGAUCUGGUUGGCUAGACAGGGUGUCCCCUUCCUACCUCACUGCUCCAUGUGUCCUUCCCAAAGCUGCAUGAUUGGUUGAAGAAUCUGAUCUGCCCACUAGAGAAGAAGCAUUCUUUCCUCAAGUUUAUAGGAAUAACUGCACUCCCCAGCUAGAUCCUCCAAACAAGUUCACAAGGUCCAUUUGUAGAAUAAGGUAGGGUAAUCAAUCUUUCAAUACUUGAGAUACAUUCAAAUGAGGUGUUCUAUGUGGCAGUCUGUCUUUCUUG